AAUGGGGGCAACCCUGAUCUAGCCAUGCCGCGUGAGUGAUGAAGGCCUUAGGGUCGUAAAGCUCUUUCGCCUGUGAUGAUAAUGACAGUAGCAGGUAAAGAAACCCCGGCUAACUCCGUGCCAGCAGCCGCGGUAAUACGGAGGGGGUUAGCGUUGUUCGGAAUUACUGGGCGUAAAGCGCGCGUAGGCGGAUUAGAAAGUUGGGGGUGAAAUCCCGGGGCUCAACCCCGGAACUGCCUCCAAAACUGCUAGUCUAGAGUUCGGGAGAGGUGAGUGGAAUUCCGAGUGUAGAGGUGAAAUUCGUAGAUAUUCGGAGGAACACCAGUGGCGAAGGCGGCUCACUGGCUCGAUACUGACGCUGAGGUGCGAAAGUGUGGGGAGCAAACAGGAUU
This 392-nucleotide ribosomal RNA is filed under the name uncultured Gammaproteobacteria bacterium. RNAcentral's name for it is "bacterial SSU rRNA". It matches the Rfam family "Bacterial small subunit ribosomal RNA", at positions 370 to 779 of the family's 1533-position model. Lineage: Bacteria; Pseudomonadati; Pseudomonadota; Gammaproteobacteria. The record is from RNAcentral.